AUUUCUAACCAAAUAUGAUUUUAGGUUAAAUGAUUUUGAAGGAAAAAAAAAAAAAAAAUCUUCCUCCAAUUUUCAAACCUAAAACCCCUCCAACGUUUUAGCUUUAAAUCCCAUUUCAACUUCCAAGUAGAAGAAAACUUUUACCCAAAAAUGUCGCCAACACCACAACGCCCUUACGGAUGGACCCUCGACGCAGAACUGGACGAAAUCGACCUAGAUCCCUCCGAUUUCACCUCCUCUCUCCCGCUUAAGAAAGUUCCGAACGGCGACGUAUUCGAGGCCUCCCGUGCCGGCGACGUCGACCGCCUUAGGUACUUGCUGGAAUCCGGCGUCAAUGUCAACGCCCGUGACCAGUGGGACUCCGUCGCAUUAUACUACGCUUGUUUGGCCGGCCACCUCGACGCUGCGCGGAUGUUGCUGGAGAGUGGAGCUAUAUGCUCCGAGCAUACUUUUGAUGGGGAUAGAUGUCACUAUGCUGCCUUGAAUUUAAAGGUCAGG
Molecule: unclassified non-coding RNA, 498 nt
Filed under: Hevea brasiliensis (rubber tree)
Lineage: Eukaryota; Viridiplantae; Streptophyta; Magnoliopsida; Malpighiales; Euphorbiaceae
Source: RNAcentral